CCUACGGGAGGCAGCAGUGGGGGAUAUUGCACAAUGGGGGGAACCCUGAUGCAGCGACGCCGCGUGGGCGAUGGAGUACUUCGGUAUGUAAAGCCCUAUCAGCAGGGAAGAAAAUGACGGUACCUGACUAAGAAGCCCCGGCUAAAUACGUGCCAGCAGCCGCGGUAAUACGUAUGGGGCGAGCGUUAUCCGGAUUUAUUGGGUUUAAAGGGUGCGCAGGCGGGAGAUCAAGUCAGCGGUAAAAUGUCGGGGCUCAACCCCGGCCGGCCGUUGGAACUGGUUUUCUAGAGUUGGAGGGAAGGAUG
Molecule: ribosomal RNA, 305 nt
Filed under: uncultured bacterium
Lineage: Bacteria
Description: bacterial SSU rRNA
Rfam family: Bacterial small subunit ribosomal RNA
Source: RNAcentral